ACUUGGAAACAGGUGUUAAUACCGCAUAAUGCUUUUUCUCCACAUGAGAGAAAGUGAAAGGCGCUUUUUGCGUCAAUGAUGGAUGGACCCGCGGUGCAUUAGCUAGUUGGUAGGGUAACGGCCUACCAAGGCAACGAUGCAUAGCCGCCUGAGAGGGUGAUCGGCCACACUGGGACUGAGACACGGCCCAGACUCCUACGGGAGGCAGCAGUAGGGAAUCUUCGGCAAUGGACGAAAGUCUGACCGAGCAACGCCGCGUGAGUGAAGAAGGUUUUCGGAUCGUAAAACUCUGUUGUUA
This 298-nucleotide ribosomal RNA is filed under the name Enterococcus italicus. Its description in RNAcentral is "partial 16S ribosomal RNA". It matches the Rfam family "Bacterial small subunit ribosomal RNA", at positions 148 to 441 of the family's 1533-position model. The record is from RNAcentral. Lineage: Bacteria; Bacillati; Bacillota; Bacilli; Lactobacillales; Enterococcaceae.